Long non-coding RNA from Passer domesticus (house sparrow), 1146 nucleotides. RefSeq lists it as uncharacterized. NCBI's taxonomy places the organism in Eukaryota, Metazoa, Chordata, Aves, Passeriformes, Passeridae. The record is from RefSeq and is a predicted model, not a curated record. The transcript has 2 exons.
GGUUAGCUGGUUGAGAGAAGAGCUGGAGUUGUUGUCUGUGCAGAAGGAAGGGUCAGGUGGCUGUGUGAGGGACAGUAAGGGUUAGGCAGUUGUGCAAAGGACAGGAAAGAGGCAACUGAAGAAACAGAAAAGGAGUCAGUGUUGCGAGAAGCUGCCCGUGGGAACUCACAGAGAGAAGGAGGAAGGCAAGACAAUGAUGAUGAUGCAUCCUCCACUAAUGGACCCUGCUGAGACAGUGAUUUUGGCUGCAAGGGAGACUUUAUGGGCAUCUUGCACUUCACAUACCAACCUUCCUGAGAGAAAAAAGGAAAAGAAUCACACACUUUCACUGAUGUGCCUUUUUUCCAGGGACCAUUGCUGAAACUCUUCCUGCCCUGCAAUAUCUGCAUAUCAGCCUGGACUUGGCUUUUGCCCUCCAAUCCCACAGCAUCUCCCACAAAGCUUAAGGCAGUAUGAUCGGUCUUUAUUGACUUCUCAGAGUUUCAGAAGAAAAUAAACAUGAAGGUUAUUAGCUGUGAGCUGUGAAAGAUGUUACAUUAGUUAGGUUUCUAAACCUUUCAGAGCCAAAAGGGAUUUUUGGAAGGCACUUGUUUCCUCCUAAAAAUCUCUUCUGUACCUAAUAAAUUCUAGUUAGCUUACAAUUCUACAGACUUGAUAUAACUUCAUACAGUGAAUGAGUAGGGGCUCAUUGUCCUGAAGUCAGGAAUAAUCUCACUGUGUUUAAGCACCUUACCCUCUCUUACUUUCUGUCAUACUCCUUUUGCCAUAACAAUGAUAAUAGACCUUCUUAUUUUAUAAUUAUGUUUAUUCAUAUUCUAGGAAAAAAUGCAGCUCGCUCCUAGUUAAUUAGUCAGACUUUUAAAAUCUGUUUGGAUUUUCAAUAGUAAAAGGAAAGACAAUAAGAUCUCACUUGAUGUCUAACACUAGUGUAGGCUGUAGAUGCAGUUCAAACUCUGCAAGGCUUCUGGUGGGAAUGUUUCACAAAAGACACUUUGUCUCCUUUGGAAUAAAUGCCACCAAAUAGUGGAAUUUAUUUCUUAGCUAUUUUUCCAGGCCCUCUCUUUCCAGCAUGCUCUCAAACACUUCACAUAGAGAUUUGCUUCUUUGGAAUGGCAUGAGGGAGGACCAGCAGUGGGGGUUUGCUUU